UACGGGGGGGGUAAGCGUUGUUCGGAAUUACUGGGCGUAAAGGGCGCGUAGGCGGCCUUCUAAGUCGAACGUGAAAUCCCUGGGCUCAACCCAGGAACUGCGUCCGAUACUGGAAGGCUUGAAUCCGGGAGAGGGAUGCGGAAUUCCAGGUGUAGCGGUGAAAUGCGUAGAUAUCAGGAGGAACACCGGUGGCGAAGGCGGGACUCUGGGCCGAUACUGACGCUGAGGAGCGAAAGCGUGGGGAGCAAACAGG
Molecule: ribosomal RNA, 253 nt
Filed under: uncultured bacterium
Lineage: Bacteria
Description: partial 16S ribosomal RNA
Rfam family: Bacterial small subunit ribosomal RNA
Source: RNAcentral